Molecule: ribosomal RNA, 492 nt
Filed under: uncultured bacterium
Lineage: Bacteria
Description: partial 16S ribosomal RNA
Rfam family: Bacterial small subunit ribosomal RNA
Source: RNAcentral
AUUGAACGCUGGCGGCAUGCUUUACACAUGCAAGUCGAACGGUAACAGGCCUUCGGGUGCUGACGAGUGGCGAACGGGUGAGUAAUGCAUCGGAACGUACCCAGAGGUGGGGGAUAACGCAGCGAAAGCUGUGCUAAUACCGCAUGUGAUCUGAGGAUGAAAGCGGGGGACCGAGCAGCAAUGUUUGGCCUCGCGCCUUUGGAGCGGCCGAUGUCGGAUUAGCUAGUUGGUGGGGUAAAGGCCUACCAAGGCGACGAUCCGUAGCUGGUCUGAGAGGCCGACCAGCCACACUGGGACUGAGACACGGCCCAGACUCCUACAGGAGGCAGCAGUGGGGAAUUUUGGACAAUGGGCGCAAGCCUGAUCCAGCAAUGCCGCGUGCGGGAAGAAGGCCUUCGGGUUGUAAACCGCUUUUGGCAGGAACGAAACGGUGUCCGCUAAUACCGGGCGCUAAUGACGGUACCUGCAGAAUAAGCACCGGCUAACUACGUG